UGAGGAAUAUUGGGCAAUGCCCGCAAGGGUGACCCAGCAACGCCGCGUGGAGGAUGAAUGCCGUAAGGUUGUAAACUCCUGUUAGAGGGGACGAAAUAUUCAGCUUCGUAAGAAUCUGAAUUUGACUGUACCCUCAGAGAAAGCCCCGGCUAACUACGUGCCAGCAGCCGCGGUAAUACGUAGGGGGCAAGCGUUGUCCGGAUUCACUGGGUGUAAAGGGCGCGCAGGCGGGUUAAUAAGUCAGAGGUGAAAUCCUACAGCUCAACUGUAGAACUGCCUUUGAUACUGUUAAUCUUGAGUUCGGAAGAGAGAGACGGAAUUCCAGGUGUAGUGGUGAAAUACGUAGAUAUCUGGAAGAACACCAGUAGCGAAGGCGGUCUCUUGGUCCGAUACUGACGCUCAGGCGCGAAAGCGUGGGUAGCAAACAGG
RNAcentral lists this ribosomal RNA (429 nucleotides) under uncultured bacterium. RNAcentral describes it as "bacterial SSU rRNA". It matches the Rfam family "Bacterial small subunit ribosomal RNA", at positions 355 to 776 of the family's 1533-position model. The record is from RNAcentral.